RNAcentral lists this ribosomal RNA (529 nucleotides) under uncultured archaeon. RNAcentral describes it as "bacterial SSU rRNA". It matches the Rfam family "Archaeal small subunit ribosomal RNA", at positions 95 to 624 of the family's 1478-position model. The record is from RNAcentral.
AACACGUGGACAACCUACCCUUGGGUUCGGCAUAAUCCUGGGAAACUGGGGAUAAUUCCGGAUAGGUCACAGAUGCUGGAAUGCACUGUGGCUCAAAGCUCCGGCGCCCAAGGAUGGGUCUGCGGCCUAUCAGGGUUGUAGUGGGUGUAAUGUACCUACUAGCCUACGACGGGUACGGGUUGUGAGAGCAAGAGCCCGGAGAUGGAUUCUGAGACACGAAUCCAGGCCCUACGGGGUGCAGCAGGCGCGAAAACUUUACAAUGCGGGAAACCGUGAUAAGGGAAUCUCGAGUGCCAGCAUAUAAUGUUGGCUGUCCAGAUGCCUAAAAAGCAUCUGUUAGCAAGGGCCGGGCAAGACCGGUGCCAGCCGCCGCGGUAACACCGGCGGCCCGAGUGGUAACCGCUAUUAUUGGGUCUAAAGGGUCUGUAGCCGGCCAGGUAAGUCCCUUGGGAAAUCUGGCAGCUCAACUGUCAGGCUGCUAGGGGAUACUGUUUGGCUUGGGACCGGGAGAGGUGAGAGGUACCUUGGG